GUGUCAGCAGCCGCGGUAAUACGGAGGGUGCGAACGUUAAUCGGAAUCACUGGGCGUAAAGCGCGCGUAGGCGGUUUGUUAAGUGGGAUGUGAAAGCCCCGGGCUUAACCUGGGAAUUGCAUUUCAAACUGGCGAACUAGAGUGCGGUAGAGGGAGGUAGAAUUUCCUGUGUAGCGGUGAAAUGCGUAGAUAUAGGAAGGAAUACCAGUGGCGAAGGCGGCCUCCUGGAUCGACACUGACGCUAAGGCGCGAAAGCGUGGGGAGCAAACAGGAUUAGAAACCCUCGUAGUCC
RNAcentral lists this ribosomal RNA (292 nucleotides) under uncultured bacterium. RNAcentral's name for it is "partial 16S ribosomal RNA". It matches the Rfam family "Bacterial small subunit ribosomal RNA", at positions 505 to 796 of the family's 1533-position model. The record is from RNAcentral.